GGGAAAGUCUGGCUUGGGAGCUCCGUGGAGGGGAGUUCUGAUUUAGGAGGUUCGGUGUGGGGAGGUCUAGGACGGGAGUCCGGCGUGGGGAGGCCCGGCACGGGGAAGUCCGAGGUGGGAGUCCGGCGUGGGGAGGCCCCAGGUUGGAAGUCCGACGUUGGGAGGCCGGGAGGCUCACUCUGUUGGAGGUGAGAGUGGUGGGCAGGCCGGGGCCCCCCGGUGAACGGCGCACGGUCGGGCCCGGGACAGGGUCGCGGGAGUCAGUCUCCGCGCGGUGGAGUAGGAGACGAGCCCCUGGACAAUGGGUUUAGGUGGUCUUUUGCCUGCAGGGCGCGCGGGGGAGGAAGGAGCCACGCCUUUCCGCCCCUUCCGGUCAGUGACUCUCCCCCAAACCUAGGCUCUCCACAUGGCCUUCCCGGCGGAGCCAGCUGUGUCCUUCAGUUGAGGAUUACUCAUCACAAGGGGCCCCAUUUCAAAAGCCAAUUGCAAGCCAGCAGAACCUUUCUGCUCUCUCCCCCAUUCAAUGUGAGGUCACAUACAGCUCAAUCAGUUUGAUGCUUAAGUUCUUCAUUAUGGUAAGUUAAUCAGAGCUCUCUAUUUUAAAGCUUCAACACCAGUUCAAGCUAAAGCAGCAAAUAAAGACUUAAUAGUUUUAUGAAAAUAGCA
RNAcentral lists this long non-coding RNA (666 nucleotides) under Bos mutus (wild yak). RNAcentral's name for it is "lncRNA (ENSBMUG00000006612.1)". The record is from RNAcentral. Lineage: Eukaryota; Metazoa; Chordata; Mammalia; Artiodactyla; Bovidae.